RNAcentral lists this ribosomal RNA (301 nucleotides) under uncultured bacterium. RNAcentral's name for it is "partial 16S ribosomal RNA". It matches the Rfam family "Bacterial small subunit ribosomal RNA", at positions 509 to 808 of the family's 1533-position model. The record is from RNAcentral.
CAGUCGCCGCGGUAAUACGUAGGUGGCAAGCGUUGUCCGGAAUUAUUGGGCGUAAAGCGCGCGCAGGCGGCCUAUCCAGUCUGUCUUAAAAGUUCGGGGCUCAACCCCGUGAUGGGAUGGAAACUAGUAGGCUAGAGUAUCGGAGAGGAAAGCGGAAUUCCUAGUGUAGCGGUGAAAUGCGUAGAUAUUAGGAAGAACACCAGUGGCGAAGGCGGCUUUCUGGACGAAAACUGACGCUGAGGCGCGAAAGCUAGGGGAGCGAACGGGAUUAGAUACCCGUGUAGUCCCUGUCUCUUAUACA